Molecule: long non-coding RNA, 1589 nt
Organism: Cucumis melo (muskmelon)
Lineage: Eukaryota; Viridiplantae; Streptophyta; Magnoliopsida; Cucurbitales; Cucurbitaceae
Exons: 2
Source: RefSeq, a predicted model, not a curated record
UCGACCUGGCAACAAUCUAACCGAGUAUUAGAUCUCUAAACAUUCUGGUUUUCUAAAGAUAUACAUAACAUGUCGCACCAAAGAUGACGCUCACGAAAACAAAGCUUAAGAAAUAAAAUCCUAUUUCAACAACUCUCUGAAAUUUUCAGAUUUCUAACAUAAAAUUCAAAGGACUAUAACUUUCUCAAUACUUUAUCAAAAUGAGUAUUCUUUAUAUCAAAAUCUUCAUUUUGAGAUCCUCUAAAACUUACCUAAAGACAUGUAAAUCUGAUUCCCUUUGGAUAAACUCAGAUAACCCUCGAAACAGAACCACUUCCAGAAUCGCGCGCACACGACCCCUUUAACUUGUCCCUACAAUUUAACUGAUUUUUAGUCGUUUUUGGUUCACGAUUUCUUCAUGAAAGUUGUAGAAAAUUGAAUACGCUUUCCAACCAUACUGAAUAGAGAUCCUAACUCUACUGGUAUACUCUGAAAUACAAGAAAAACCAGAAACCUCCUAGUUUCGAGUGAAAACCAACAUGUUUUCUUUAUCAAAAAAGCCCCCAAUGAAUAUCCGAAUUUGCUCCAACUUUCUUCAUAAAAUUUGUUUACAAAUGAGUUAACUUUCAGUAAAUGUAAACCUCACCUCUUAAUUCCUUUUGAAGAGUUGAAACUGAAUUAAAAACUAGUGAUGUGCAGAAUGAACUAAAAUUCAGCCAUGGAUACACUUUGCUUGAGUUCUCCUCCUCUUCUUCAACCUCAAAAUUCUAGUAAAAUUCCUCUUCUUCUUCCAAAAUCUCUCUUAAAUGUUCUCUGCAAAUUGAAGAAGGAAAAGAAUGGAAGUUGGAUGUCUUCAAAAUGUUUGGCGGUGAAGGGAAGAGAAGAAGAAGAAGAAAAGAAAAAAUGAAAUUUUCUUCUCUUUUUCUUCUUUUCAUCCUUUCUUUUCUUUCUUUUCUUUAAUUUAUUUAAUAAAAUUAUUUAAUAUAUACAUAUAUAUAUAUAUAUAUAUAUAUUUUUUUUACACUUAAUUUCCAUUUUCUUUUCUUUUUUUUUCCACAUUUAAAGAAAUUAAACCAAGAAAAUAUCGGGUUUACAGAGUGUAUGUUAGCUUUACCUAUUAGAGUCAUACCUACAGGAGUGUCCUUUGGGAUCACCACUCUUUUGACGGCUAUGUAGUCCGAUGGGAUCCCGAGUCUAACAUUGACAUUAACACCGACAUGAUUUGAGAGAUCUAACAGGAUUGCUCACACUUAUGACUGCAUAGUCCGACGAGACCACCAAUCUGACAUUGACAUUGACAUAGACCAGAUUGUUCCUACGAGAUCACAAGUUGCACGUGUUCGGGAACGUGCCAGUCAAGGGCAGAGGCAUAGGUAAGAGCAAAGGCAAGCUGGCGAAUGACCAGAAGUGACAGUGGCGAGCCACAAGAACCCGUUUGCUUCCGCUUUAUUUCAUAGUUCAAAUUUUAGUGUUUGCAUUUCUAAUUUAUUCUUUAUUUGUUAUUUUAUUUCUUUAAAAUUAGAUAGGGCCCGAGUUAGGAUUUUAUUUUUGACUUAUUUCUAAAUAUAUUUGUUUAUACUUUUAAUGAGAAAUUCGAGGUUUUGUUUUAA